This 338-nucleotide ribosomal RNA is filed under the name uncultured Thermovirga sp. RNAcentral's name for it is "bacterial SSU rRNA". It matches the Rfam family "Bacterial small subunit ribosomal RNA", at positions 1046 to 1382 of the family's 1533-position model. Lineage: Bacteria; Thermotogati; Synergistota; Synergistia; Synergistales; Thermovirgaceae. The record is from RNAcentral.
UGGCUGUCGUCAGCUCGUGUCGUGAGAUGUUGGGUUAAGUCCCGCAACGAGCGCAACCCCUCGCAUUCAGUUGCCAUCGGUGAGGCCGGGCACUCUGGAUGGACUGCCGGCGACAAGCCGGAGGAAGGUGGGGACGACGUCAAGUCAUCAUGGCCCUUAUGUCCAGGGCGACACACGUGCUACAAUGGCCGGCACAGCGGGAAGCGAAGGGGCGACUCUGAGCGGAUCCCUUAAAGCCGGUCCCAGUUCGGAUUGCAGUCUGCAACUCGACUGCAUGAAGUUGGAAUCGCUAGUAAUCGUGGAUCAGCCAAGCCGCGGUGAAUACGUUCCCGGGCCUU